RNAcentral lists this ribosomal RNA (301 nucleotides) under uncultured bacterium. RNAcentral describes it as "partial 16S ribosomal RNA". It matches the Rfam family "Bacterial small subunit ribosomal RNA", at positions 509 to 807 of the family's 1533-position model. The record is from RNAcentral.
CAGCCGCCGCGGGAAUACGAAGGGGGCUAGCGCUGCUCGGAUUUACUGGGCGUAAAGGGCGCGUAGGCGGACAGUUUAGUCGGGGGUGAAAGCCCGGGGCUCAACCUCGGAUUUGCCUUCGAUACUGGCUGUCUUGAGUACGGGAGAGGUGAGUGGAACUCCGAGUGUAGAGGUGAAAUUCGUAGAUAUUCGGAAGAACACCAGUGGCGAAGGCGACUCACUGGCCCGUUACUGACGCUGAGGCGCGAAAGCGUGGGGAGCAAACAGGAUUAGAUACCCCCGUAGUCCCUGUCUCUUAUAC